This is a long non-coding RNA of Drosophila miranda, 769 nucleotides long. RefSeq lists it as uncharacterized. NCBI's taxonomy places the organism in Eukaryota, Metazoa, Arthropoda, Insecta, Diptera, Drosophilidae. The record is from RefSeq and is a predicted model, not a curated record. The transcript has 3 exons.
UUACUUCUCCCAUAAACUCUACCUAUGUAUGUGGGCAUUUUCUAUUCAAAAGUACUAAAUUUCGACUCGAACAUAUCGCAACAUGAUAUAGAAAAAAUAUCAGGAAAAACAUUUCAUUUUGAAGAUUGUGGAAAUCACAUUUACUUUCCUUUAAUUGAUUAAUUUUAGAUUUUCAAAAGUGGCUUACCAAUACAAUUUUAAUUUUGAGGAAAUGGUAGUGGAAAAUACUUAAAUAACAGACAUAUCUAAUACGGCUCCAAAUAAUCGGUCCAAUAAUUAUGGUAAUGCAUUUAAACAUUUUCAUGCUCAAUAGACUUAUUUUAAAUAAGGGGGCGCAACUUAUUUCGUUGCGUAGUGAAGUCGCAUCAAUAAAAGCUCGAGUGUGCGGAGAGCCUAACAUAGUAAAAUUGACAGUGCCACGUUCGCCACUGGCCAGUCUAGAGGGCUUUGAGGCAUUUGAAGAUUAUCUUAAAGAAGAGCCCGCUUUCAAUAACUUGGUAAGGAAUUUUUUACAUUUUUGGAGUAAAUAUAAGCGAUGAUGUGGCGAAGUUUUUCUCCUGGCGUGGGACAGACUCCAAAAAGUGUGUAAGAGGACUUCGAACCACUUUAGCACUAAGAAAUGCAUUUAAACAUAAGUUUGCGCUCGACGAUCACGAUUUUGACCACACAACACAAAAAUAUUUUCAGUAUGCUCAAGAGCGGAAGGCCAGAUUAAAUAAUACAUACGUAUACAUAUAUCUUCAAUAUUCAAUAUUAAUAUAUUAAAUUC